This 253-nucleotide ribosomal RNA is filed under the name uncultured bacterium. RNAcentral describes it as "partial 16S ribosomal RNA". It matches the Rfam family "Bacterial small subunit ribosomal RNA", at positions 524 to 776 of the family's 1533-position model. The record is from RNAcentral.
GACGAACCGUGCGAACGUUGUUCGGAAUCACUGGGCUUAAAGGGUGCGUAGGCGGGCCGAAAAGUCAGGGGUGAAAGCCUCCAGCUUAACUGGAGAAGUGCCUUUGAUACUGGCGGUCUUGAGGAAGGUAGGGGCAUGCGGAACUGAUGGUGGAGCGGUGAAAUGUGUUGAUAUCAUCAGGAACUCCGGUGGCGAAAGCGGCGUGCUGGACCUUUUCUGACGCUGAUGCACGAAAGCCAGGGGAGCAAACGGG